Molecule: ribosomal RNA, 254 nt
Filed under: uncultured bacterium
Lineage: Bacteria
Description: partial 16S ribosomal RNA
Rfam family: Bacterial small subunit ribosomal RNA
Source: RNAcentral
UACGUAGGGUGCGAGCGUUAAUCGGAAUUACUGGGCGUAAAGCAUGCGCAGGCGGUGAUGUAAGACCGAUGUGAAAUCCCCGGGCUUAACCUGGGAACUGCAUUGGUGACUGGCAGGCUUUGAGUGUGGCAGAGGGAGGUAGAAUUCCACGUGUAGCAGUGAAAUGCGUAGAGAUGUGGAGGAAUACCGAUGGCGAAGGCAGCCUCCUGGGCCAACACUGACGCUCAUGCACGAAAGCGUGGGGAGCAAACAGG